GAUUAGCGGCGGACGGGUGAGUAACACGUGGGCAACCUGCCCUAUAGAGGGGAAUAGCCUUCCGAAAGGAAGAUUAAUACCCCAUAAGAUUGUAGCUUCACAUGGAGCAGCAAUUAAAGGAGCAAUCCGCUAUAGGAUGGGCCCGCGGCGCAUUAGCUAGUUGGUGAGGUAACGGCUCACCAAGGCGACGAUGCGUAGCCGACCUGAGAGGGUGAUCGGCCACAUUGGGACUGAGACACGGCCCAAACUCCUACGGGAGGCAGCAGUGGGGAAUAUUGCACAAUGGGGGAAACCCUGAUGCAUCAACGCCGCGUGAGUGAUGAAGGCCUUCGAGGUUGUAAAGCUCUGUCUUUGGGGACGAUAAUGACGGUACCCAAGGAGGAAGCCACGGCUAACUACGUGCCAGCAGCCGCGGUAAUACGUAGGUGGCAAGCGUUGUCCGGAUUUACUGGGCGUAAAGGGAGCGUAGGCGGACUUUUAAGUGGGAUGUGAAAUACUCGGGCUCAACCUGAGUGCUGCAUUCCAAACUGGAAGUCUAGAGUGCAGGAGGGGAAAGUGGAAUUCCUAAUGUAGCGGUGAAAUGAGUAGAUAUUAAGAACAACACCGGUGGCGAAGGCGACUUUCUGGACUGUAACUGACGCUGACGCUCGAAAGCGUGGGGAGCGAACAUGAUUAGAUACCCUGGUAGUCCACGCCGUAAACGAUGAAUAC
Molecule: ribosomal RNA, 711 nt
Filed under: uncultured microorganism
Description: bacterial SSU rRNA
Rfam family: Bacterial small subunit ribosomal RNA
Source: RNAcentral